ACGUAAGUUCUAGCGCAAGUUCCUGGAAGCGGAACGCAAAAGCUUUCAGGAAGACGAGGAGAAGGUUGUCGAAACGUCAGCGGAUGCCUUCCGGCCGGCUCGGUCGAUAGAAUGCAGCGAAAGCCCCAUCGUGAGGUGGGAGACAAGCUGCGGGAGAGCACGA
RNAcentral lists this non-coding RNA (163 nucleotides) under Pseudoselenomonas ruminantium. RNAcentral describes it as "Selenomonas ruminantium GlcN6P sequence". It matches the Rfam family "glmS glucosamine-6-phosphate activated ribozyme aptamer". Rfam says of the family: This entry contains a glucosamine-6-phosphate activated ribozyme that is found in the mRNA for GlmS. GlmS is an enzyme that uses fructose-6-phosphate and glutamine to generate glucosamine-6-phosphate. Lineage: Bacteria; Bacillati; Bacillota; Negativicutes; Selenomonadales; Selenomonadaceae. The record is from RNAcentral.